UUUUUUUUUUUUGUCAAGUUAGGGGUAAGACUAUCUAGUUGACUGUGAGCUCUAGUGGACCUGGAUCAGAUGAGGCCCCAACUUUGGCGUGUUGUGCCGGAACCAUUGCACACUCUCAACUGUUUAUAUCCACAAUUCAGAUCAAAGCAUCAUUCACUUUUUUCUAGAACUCUCCUGCUAUGGACACUGAGAAAUGACGCACCAAAAGGAGCUGGUAAUUUAGGACAUCACGAUUUCACUCCAACUUUAUUCCAGUCCACAAGAAAAGUUCAGGAUCUUUUAUUCCCGAAACUGAAUAACUUUAAACAAUCCCAUAGCAGGACAAAAAGAUUUGCCAGCAGAUUCAUUGACUAUUGUGUUUCAUGAAUGGAAGCAUGCACGGAGAGCUGCUAGGCUAGGAGGGUACCAGUCAUCACAGCGACAGCUUCUCCCUGAAUUCGCACUCUCCUGCCUGCAGGUUCCAACUCCAGGUGUAAUAUUCCGCUCCGUCGAGAUGCCUGAUGACAUGCGGAUUAACUUGAAAACCAAUUUGACGGUGGUCGAGGAAAGAAGUAAUCAAACACUUAAGCAUUGUUAGAAGGACAUACUUGAAAUGCUGUCAGUUUCUGCUUUCCCAGCUUCGCGCCCCAAAAGGGUGCUAAAACACAGUGCGCACUGCCACAAACGGGGUCCUGUCCAAAACAUAAUGAUUAGAGGGGGGGUUUUUUCCUAAAGAUCAGGAAGCGUAUAUUAAUAAGAUAAGAAGAAAAGAGUUGAUCCGGUUUACGAGGGAAACCGGAUUCAAAAACCUUACAACCACCAACCUUAUCACCACCACUUACGGAGCACACCUGAGGCUACAACUACAACUACCAACAAGCCGCAUACAACUACAACUAUCUACAAGCGACCGGGCCCAUCACGGGUCAUCGUUGCUGAGCUUGCCAAGGAAGACAGCAGCUCCGACUCCACAAUUAGAGGGUUUGACCGUGAAAUUUGCAAGCUAACACAAGCAUGGAAACCAACACAGAAAAAACUUUGCCAGCCACGAACAUUCAUGAGAAAAAAUGGACCUGGCGUCUAAAGGCAUUGAAGUGAGGUUCCAUUCCAGGAAACAAGCUGUUUGCCAAGAUGUGCAUUUCCACAAAGUAGUAGAGUUUUCAUUUCUGAUUUUUCUUUACAAGCCCAACAUGACAUAGAUUAUCCUACUCUGUUACCAGACAAAUCUAGUCAUCGUUGAGUCAGUAGGUACUUCAUAUGUAUGAACAGGAACUGUGGAACCUUGGUAUGUUUGAAAGAGAAUGAAUAACUAACUACAACGAUGGAAAGAAUAGCCAGUCUCAUAGAUUGUUCUCCUUCUAAACUGCGUAUGGCAAUAUGCCAUUCAAAUCUCCUAUAACAAUCUCAUUGAGAAAGAAGAUGUCAUAACAGUUUAGUCAUUUUAACAUUAGGACUGGCAGGAUGAUAACGUUCCGCAAUCAGAGAGCUCUACAGUAUAUAUGUUAUACAGGAGUAAUAUGCAUGAGGUCGGAUCGAAUUAAUUCUUGAGAGGAGAUUUUGAUAAAAAUAUAGUAUACAUAUUUGACAGAUAAUGGAUGCGUCAUUGUAGUUUAGUUUGUAUGUUAAGCAAGCUUCAACACUCACCAUAGUUCAGGGAAAAGAUUACGGCAUCACCUCACCUCAUCUAUGUUUAGUUUUGGGCAGAAGAAACGCGUGAAGAAGUCAUAACCAGAUCCCUCAGGUGCUGGCCCUGUAAAUACAACUCCUCUGCCUGAACAGUUUUUAAUUUCAUGGAUGUUAGGAAUGAUAUCGGCAACCUCUUUUCCUGAUGAAAGCUCCACCUGAAAACCGAAUCACAUUUUCUUUUUGUGAGUUACACCUGAACAAAUAGAACUCCCUCAUUAUCACUCUUGUUUAUCUUUGUUCUAUAGCUUUACUUAAGUUUAUGCACCUUAUAAAUAAUUUUAGUGUUAUUGUACAUAGUAAUAUUAUGUUGUUGAGCAACUGUUUGGAAUUAAUAUGUAUAACUUCUCCAGUCCUGAUCGAGGAAAAUCUAGAAAUUGAAGAAAGGAGCAACUGAAGUAAGGAUUAGUUGAUUAGAGGAAUUACAAUGAGGUCACCAGCAGUCGCCGACUUCUGAACGCUGACGACGGAAGCUCCGUUCAGGGUCUGGGGGAUGGACGGCAGCUCGGCAGGAUGGCAAUCGACAAGGUCAAUCAUGGGGAAAUCCAGCUCGAUGAACAGCUUCCCCUCACCUGAGGCCGCCGCACUCGCCGGUGCAGGAACCUUCUCGGCGGUGAGAAUCCCCGAUUUGGUCGCGAAUUCGAUGAGCGUCUCGUGCUCCGCGAGGACGGAUGUGAAGAGAAAGUGAGCGGAGGCCAGCGUCGCGUGGCCGCAGAGCUCGACCUGGAGCGGCGGCGCGAAGGCUCUUCUCAAGAUUGAAAAAACGAGUGGCUGUGCAACGGUGAGGUGGAUGGGGGUACCUCGGCGGCGGGGGUGAACCAUCGGAGCUGGAACCGUGGGGCGGCGGCGGAGGAGGAGUCGCGGAGGAGGAAGGCGGUCUCGGCGAGGUUGAACUCGGCGGCGACGGACUGCAUCCACCGCUCGUCGGCGGCCUUGGCGGCGUCCUCGAGGAGGCAGACCGCGGCCGGGUUGCCCUUGAACGGCUCCGCCGUGAAGGCGUCCACCUGCGACGGCCACACCGGCGACAACGCCACGUCAUGCCCCGUGCAGAUCGAGAGAAGGGAGUGCAGAGCAGAGCUGUACUGACCACGGCGUACUGGAUGCCACUCUUGGCCAUUCUUGCGACGACGAGCACUGCUGACCGGGGCUCUGUGCUAUCGCCAGCGGCGGCUGCUGCUCCGGCACUUCUUUGUGUUGGGUUUUAUACAUGUGACUGUGAGUGCGUCCUGCUGACUGCUGAGUGCAGCAAUCAGCAGUGACGACAUUCCACUUGUCGCGUUCCUCGUGAAAACUCAAACCCAGAUUGGAACAAAUUUAAUCAAAUGGUAUCGUAUCCAAAUCCGUCCGAAUACUCAGAUCCAAAUAAAAUGAAUAACAAUAUUCGACACAAUUCGACACAUCUUAGCACUAUUCGUAUCCAAAUUUGAUCCAUGUAUAUCGUACAGAUCCGAUCCAUUUUCAUCCAGUGCCUAACAUGGAGUCACCACAGGGGAACACUCCCUACCAACAAAAAAAGAAAAAAAAAACAGCUCCCACAUCCCACACCACAGGUCAUAAGUCUCCCAAGAACAAUUACAAUCCACUGGACUUCUGCACCCACGUUGGCUUAAACAUAGCUAGAACACCGUAAAGAUGAAGUUAAACAACACCAAGCAACAGAAGAAUGCAUUCAUAAACAAACCUUAGAACCAAAAUGUAUCUGGCGUAAGGUCAUUGCACAUGUCAGGCCUCCAUAAACUUAAAGUGGGUAUGUGUAGACAGUUAGGUACAACAAGAGUGACAACCUAAAAGACAACCGUGUCAAGCAUGGUUCCUAAGGUCUGAACUAUGUUUGAUGACAUUAAAUUCGACACAUGCUCUUCCAAAUGCUUCUUCGCAUCUUGCCGACCAACAUUUGCUAUCGCGAGUUUCUCAGGUGGCAGCUCAUCCUCCUC
This 3596-nucleotide long non-coding RNA is filed under the name Setaria viridis. RNAcentral's name for it is "long non-coding RNA (SVIR_LNC005173)". Lineage: Eukaryota; Viridiplantae; Streptophyta; Magnoliopsida; Poales; Poaceae. The record is from RNAcentral.